AUGCAAGUCGAGCGGGGGAAGGUAGCUUGCUACUGGACCUAGCGGCGGACGGGUGAGUAAUGCUUAGGAAUCUGCCUAUUAGUGGGGGACAACAUCUCGAAAGGGAUGCUAAUACCGCAUACGUCCUACGGGAGAAAGCAGGGGAUCUUCGGACCUUGCGCUAAUAGAUGAGCCUAAGUCGGAUUAGCUAGUUGGUGGGGUAAAGGCCUACCAAGGCGACGAUCUGUAGCGGGUCUGAGAGGAUGAUCCGCCACACUGGGACUGAGACACGGCCCAGACUCCUACGGGAGGCAGCAGUGGGGAAUAUUGGACAAUGGGGGGAACCCUGAUCCAGCCAUGCCGCGUGUGUGAAGAAGGCCUUAUGGUUGUAAAGCACUUUAAGCGAGGAGGAGGCUACUUUAGUUAAUACCUAGAGAUAGUGGACGUUACUCGCAGAAUAAGCACCGGCUAACUCUGUGCCAGCAGCCGCGGUAAUACAGAGGGUGCGAGCGUUAAUCGGAUUUACUGGGCGUAAAGCGUGCGUAGGCGGCUUAUUAAGUCGGAUGUGAAAUCCCCGAGCUUAACUUGGGAAUUGCAUUCGAUACUGGUGAGCUAGAGUAUGGGAGAGGAUGGUAGAAUUCCAGGUGUAGCGGUGAAAUGCGUAGAGAUCUG
This 651-nucleotide ribosomal RNA is filed under the name Acinetobacter baumannii OIFC189. RNAcentral's name for it is "bacterial SSU rRNA". It matches the Rfam family "Bacterial small subunit ribosomal RNA", at positions 55 to 700 of the family's 1533-position model. Lineage: Bacteria; Pseudomonadati; Pseudomonadota; Gammaproteobacteria; Moraxellales; Moraxellaceae. The record is from RNAcentral.